CCUACGGGAGGCAGCAGUAGGGAAUAUUGGACAAUGGGCGCAAGCCUGAUCCAGCCAUCCCGCGUGAAGGAUUAAGGCCCUCUGGGUUGUAAACUUCUUUUCUCUGGGAAUAAAAACCGGUAUUCAUACUGGCUUGAAGGUACCAGAGGAAUAAGCACCGGCUAACUCCGUGCCAGCAGCCGCGGUAAUACGGAGGGUGCAAGCGUUAUCCGGAUUCACUGGGUUUAAAGGGUGCGUAGGUGGCUUUGUAAGUCAGUGGUGAAAUGCCGCAGCUCAACUGCGGAACUGCCAUUGAUACUGCUUAGCUUGAAUCACGUCGAGGUGGAUGGAAUAAUACAUGUAGCGGUGAAAUGCUUAGAUAUGUAUUAGAACACCGAUUGCGAAGGCAGUUCACUAGGCGUGUAUUGACACUGAGGCACGAAAGCGUGGGGAUCAAACAGGAUUAGAUACCCUGGUAGUCCACGCCCUAAACGAUGUAAACUCGACAUUAGCGAUAUACUGUUAGUGUCCAAGCGAAAGCGUUAAGUUUACCACCUGGGAAGUACGAACCGCAAGGUUGAAACUCAAANAGAGUUGNGCGNGAGAGNGCGAGACGACGACGAGGAGGAGG
This 610-nucleotide ribosomal RNA is filed under the name uncultured bacterium. RNAcentral describes it as "bacterial SSU rRNA". It matches the Rfam family "Bacterial small subunit ribosomal RNA", at positions 338 to 947 of the family's 1533-position model. The record is from RNAcentral.